GCUUAACACAUGCAAGUCGAACGGACCGUAUACGCAGCUUGCUGCGUGUAUGGUUAGUGGCAGACGGGUGAGUAAUGCAUAGGAAUCUACCUAGUAGUAUGGGAUAGCCACUAGAAAUGGUGGGUAAUACUGUAUAAUCCCUGCGGGGGAAAGAUUUAUCGCUAUUAGAUGAGCCUAUGUCAGAUUAGCUAGUUGGUGGGGUAAUGGCCUACCAAGGCGGUGAUCUGUAGCUGGUCUGAGAGGAUGAUCAGCCACACUGGAACUGAGACACGGUCCAGACUCCUACGGGAGGCAGCAGUGGGGAAUAUUGGACAAUGGGCGCAAGCCUGAUCCAGCUAUGCCGCGUGAGUGAGGAAGGCCUUAGGGUUGUAAAACUCUUUCAGUAGGGAAGAUAAUGACGGUACCUACAGAAGAAGUCCCGGCAAACUC
This 429-nucleotide ribosomal RNA is filed under the name uncultured Anaplasma sp. RNAcentral's name for it is "bacterial SSU rRNA". It matches the Rfam family "Bacterial small subunit ribosomal RNA", at positions 46 to 503 of the family's 1533-position model. The record is from RNAcentral. Lineage: Bacteria; Pseudomonadati; Pseudomonadota; Alphaproteobacteria; Rickettsiales; Anaplasmataceae.